This 115-nucleotide ribosomal RNA is filed under the name Danio rerio (zebrafish). The record is from RNAcentral. Lineage: Eukaryota; Metazoa; Chordata; Actinopteri; Cypriniformes; Danionidae.
GCCAGCAGCUAGCUCUCUGCAACUCUCACAUGGUCGCCCACUGAAGCUAAGCAGGGCUGCGCCCGGUCAGUACCUGGAUGGGAGACCACAUGGGAAAGCUAGGUUGUUGCCGGAA